This is a long non-coding RNA of Cyprinus carpio (common carp), 1481 nucleotides long. RefSeq lists it as uncharacterized. The transcript is spliced from 2 exons. The record is from RefSeq and is a predicted model, not a curated record. NCBI's taxonomy places the organism in Eukaryota, Metazoa, Chordata, Actinopteri, Cypriniformes, Cyprinidae.
UAUGUAGUUUUGUGUAUUUUUUUUGACUUUUGAGUCCCUUAUAGUUAAGUAAAGUCUCUAUGGUAAAUAUAUUAUAAGUGAAUAGCUAUAAAAGUGCAUUUGCCGUGCCAUAAAGCAAACUGUUCUUUUCGAUUUUUUGAAACUGAUAUUUCAAGGUAAAAAAAAAAAAAAAACUAAAAAAAAACUAAACAUACAGUUUAAGUAAUCUAUUUUAGAUAACGUUGCAUAGAAACAAAACAAACUCAGACUGGACAUGUUGGGUAGAUCUAAGAAGAACCGAAUUUUACCAAAGUGAGAAGCCUUCAAGAAAUAAUAAUUCAAAUGCAACAAGCAACAUUUCAGUUUAAUUCUGUUACAUCACACACUUGUCAUGCUUUCAGAAUGUCAUUAUCUCUUGUUGAAUGCAUCAGUCUGAAAGUGUGUGUCUGAUUGAAGGAGGAAGAGUGUGUUACUCCUGAGAAGUUUGCUUACUGGGAGAAGGUUGGCCAGAUGGGCUUUGUCUACACAGCCAGUGGGCCACUUGUGCGCUUCUCUCACAAACAGGUGAAUUCUUUUUGAAGAAUCUGCUGAAAAGAAGCGGAAGACUAACUAGUGAAACUAGUGAACAUCACCUGUCUACAGUAUAAAAACUACUAAUAGGAUGGUACAAAAAUGAAAAUUCCAUAAUAAUUCACUUUCCCUCAUGUCAUAUUUCUUCAGCAAAUAAUAAUACAGGUUUGGAACAACAUGUAAAUGAUGCCUGAAUUUAAAUUUUUUGGGUGAACUGUCCCUUUAAGUAUACAUUUUAAACAAGUAUGUUGCUGUAACUCGUAAUGUUGUUUUAAAUAAAUUGAAUUAAAGAUCUGUAUGUGUAUCAUUGAAGUAAUACCAAUAGAAUAUAUUCAAUUCAAACUGGUCAAAGAUCAUGUUAAUUGUGUAUUUUUGUUUCAGCCAUGGUUGGCUUCCAUGUUUAAGCCUGCGAAAUGAGUAUCCAAAACUGCUUCAUUUCAUUGGUCCAGAUUUAUUUAAGAAAUACAUUUUCUUCAAUCAUUAUUCAUGAUCAUUAUAAACCUGUACAGUAAGAGAUGAUUUUAUAAAAGCUACAACUGUGACUCUACAAUAACAUACACAGUGCAGGCUGAACAAUACAUAUCAGAGGAUUAAUAAAUGAGUGACACAAACAGCUAUUUGAUAUCACAGGCCAAAUUUAAAGCAACAGGCUUUUUUUAUGUCCAAUUGGUCCUAGUAUUUAAAAGUUGCCAUUCUUUCUGUUCUGCUCCCUCAAACAUUGCUCUCAAAUAAGUAGAUGAUUUUGUCAUUAAAAUCUAGAACACUGAUUACUGUAAACAAUAAUAUACUACUAUACAACAGUACUGGGAUGUUAAUUAGUUUUGUGUACAGUUAAUAUACGUUUCAAAAAAAUUCCGAAAUGGUACAGACAUAAAAACAUUCUAAAAAGUACUGGGAUGUUAAUUAGUUUUGUGUACAGUUAAUAUACGUUU